CGGAAGGAUCAUUAAAAAAGGAGAAGACUCCUAUAUAUAAGCACGGCCUGCCCCUGGCACUCCUAUUAGCCUAGAAUCCUGUCCCGGUAUUUUGAACCAAACCUUUACGGGGGAGGCCAAAUCCGGAUAAUGCGAACGCAUGCAGGGACCUAGCAUUGAGCAGACCCAGAGUACGGGUGGCUAAUGCCUAACCCCUUGAAUACCUACCUUCGUUGCUUUGGCAGGACGCUUUAAGCCACUAGCGUCAGCUGGUGAGUGCCUGCCAGAGGACCAAACUCUAUGAAAUAAUAUCGUCUGAGUACUAUAUAAUAGUUAAAACUUUCAACAACGGAUCUCUUGGUUCUGGCAUCGAUGAAGAACGCAGCGAAAUGCGAUAAGUAAUGUGAAUUGCAGAAUUCAGUGAAUCAUCGAAUCUUUGAACGCACAUUGCGCCCCGUGGUAUUCCGCGGGGCAUGCCUGUUCGAGCGUCAUUAUGACCAAUCACGCCUGGCGUGGUCUUGGGGCUGGCAGUUUUGCCUCCCUUAAACGCAGUGGCAGCGCCGCGUGGCUCUAAGCGUAGUAAUACUUCCGCUAUAGAUGUCGCUCGGUUGCCCGCCAGCAACCCCCAAUCUUUACAGGUUGACCUCGGAUCAGGUAGGGAUACCCGCUGAACUUAAGCAUAUCAAUAAGCGGAGGAAAAGAAACCAACAGGGAUUGCCUCA
RNAcentral lists this ribosomal RNA (701 nucleotides) under Gelatinodiscus flavidus. RNAcentral describes it as "eukaryotic LSU rRNA". The stretch from base 317 to 470 matches the Rfam family "5.8S ribosomal RNA". The record is from RNAcentral. Lineage: Eukaryota; Fungi; Ascomycota; Leotiomycetes; Helotiales; Gelatinodiscaceae.